This 2552-nucleotide ribosomal RNA is filed under the name Salmonella enterica subsp. enterica serovar Typhimurium. RNAcentral's name for it is "partial 23S ribosomal RNA". It matches the Rfam family "Bacterial large subunit ribosomal RNA", at positions 373 to 2824 of the family's 2925-position model. The record is from RNAcentral. Lineage: Bacteria; Pseudomonadati; Pseudomonadota; Gammaproteobacteria; Enterobacterales; Enterobacteriaceae.
CCGUACACAAAAGCGCAUGUGCUGUGAGCUCGAUGAGUAGGGCGGGACACGUGGUAUCCUGUCUGAAUAUGGGGGGACCAUCCUCCAAGGCUAAAUACUCCUGACUGACCGAUAGUGAACCAGUACCGUGAGGGAAAGGCGAAAAGAACCCCGGCGAGGGGAGUGAAAAAGAACCUGAAACCGUGUACGUACAAGCAGUGGGAGCACAGGUUUACCUGUGUGACUGCGUACCUUUUGUAUAAUGGGUCAGCGACUUAUAUUCUGUAGCAAGGUUAACCGUAUAGGGGAGCCGGAGGGAAACCGAGUCUUAAUUGGGCGUUAAGUUGCAGGGUAUAGACCCGAAACCCGGUGAUCUAGCCAUGGGCAGGUUGAAGGUUGGGUAACACUAACUGGAGGACCGAACCGACUAAUGUUGAAAAAUUAGCGGAUGACCUGUGGCUGGGGGUGAAAGGCCAAUCAAACCGGGAGAUAGCUGGUUCUCCCCGAAAGCUAUUUAGGUAGCGCCUCGUGAAUUCAUCUCCGGGGGUAGAGCACUGUUUCGGCUAGGGGGCCAUCCCGGCUUACCAACCCGAUGCAAACUGCGAAUACCGGAGAAUGUUAUCACGGGAGACACACGGCGGGUGCUAACGUCCGUCGUGAAGAGGGAAACAACCCAGACCGCCAGCUAAGGUCCCAAAGUCAUGGUUAAGUGGGAAACGAUGUGGGAAGGCCCAGACAGCCAGGAUGUUGGCUUAGAAGCAGCCAUCAUUUAAAGAAAGCGUAAUAGCUCACUGGUCGAGUCGGCCUGCGCGGAAGAUGUAACGGGGCUAAACCAUGCACCGAAGCUGCGGCAGCGAACGUAUCACCCAAGACAACUUUACGGAGUUGACGAUUGACGGAGCGAAGCGACGUCAAAGCGUUCAUUAAAGUCGAGUUGGCUUAGGGAUACGUUCGUUGGGUAGGGGAGCGUUCUGUAAGCCUGUGAAGGUGUGUCGUGAGGCAUGCUGGAGGUAUCAGAAGUGCGAAUGCUGACAUAAGUAACGAUAAAGCGGGUGAAAAGCCCGCUCGCCGGAAGACCAAGGGUUCCUGUCCAACGUUAAUCGGGGCAGGGUGAGUCGACCCCUAAGGCGAGGCCGAAAGGCGUAGUCGAUGGGAAACGGGUUAAUAUUCCCGUACUUGGUGUUACUGCGAAGGGGGGACGGAGAAGGCUAUGUUGGCCGGGCGACGGUUGUCCCGGUUUAAGCGUGUAGGUGUGUGUUCCAGGUAAAUCCGGUUCACUUUAACACUGAGGCGUGACGACGAGGCACUACGGUGCUGAAGCAACAAAUGCCCUGCUUCCAGGAAAAGCCUCUAAGCAUCAGGUAACAUCAAAUCGUACCCCAAACCGACACAGGUGGUCAGGUAGAGAAUACCAAGGCGCUUGAGAGAACUCGGGUGAAGGAACUAGGCAAAAUGGUGCCGUAACUUCGGGAGAAGGCACGCUGACACGUAGGUGAAGUGAUUUACUCAUGGAGCUGAAGUCAGUCGAAGAUACCAGCUGGCUGCAACUGUUUAUUAAAAACACAGCACUGUGCAAACACGAAAGUGGACGUAUACGGUGUGACGCCUGCCCGGUGCCGGAAGGUUAAUUGAUGGGGUCAGCGCAAGCGAAGCUCCUGAUCGAAGCCCCGGUAAACGGCGGCCGUAACUAUAACGGUCCUAAGGUAGCGAAAUUCCUUGUCGGGUAAGUUCCGACCUGCACGAAUGGCGUAAUGAUGGCCAGGCUGUCUCCACCCGAGACUCAGUGAAAUUGAACUCGCUGUGAAGAUGCAGUGUACCCGCGGCAAGACGGAAAGACCCCGUGAACCUUUACUAUAGCUUGACACUGAACAUUGAGCCUUGAUGUGUAGGAUAGGUGGGAGGCUUUGAAGUGUGGACGCCAGUCUGCAUGGAGCCGACCUUGAAAUACCACCCUUUAAUGUUUGAUGUUCUAACGUGGACCCGUAAUCCGGGUUGCGGACAGUGUCUGGUGGGUAGUUUGACUGGGGCGGUCUCCUCCUAAAGAGUAACGGAGGAGCACGAAGGUUGGCUAAUCCUGGUCGGACAUCAGGAGGUUAGUGCAAUGGCAUAAGCCAGCUUGACUGCGAGCGUGACGGCGCGAGCAGGUGCGAAAGCAGGUCAUAGUGAUCCGGUGGUUCUGAAUGGAAGGGCCAUCGCUCAACGGAUAAAAGGUACUCCGGGGAUAACAGGCUGAUACCGCCCAAGAGUUCAUAUCGACGGCGGUGUUUGGCACCUCGAUGUCGGCUCAUCACAUCCUGGGGCUGAAGUAGGUCCCAAGGGUAUGGCUGUUCGCCAUUUAAAGUGGUACGCGAGCUGGGUUUAGAACGUCGUGAGACAGUUCGGUCCCUAUCUGCCGUGGGCGCUGGAGAACUGAGGGGGGCUGCUCCUAGUACGAGAGGACCGGAGUGGACGCAUCACUGGUGUUCGGGUUGUCAUGCCAAUGGCACUGCCCGGUAGCUAAAUGCGGAAGAGAUAAGUGCUGAAAGCAUCUAAGCACGAAACUUGCCCCGAGAUGAGUUCUCCCUGAGACUUAG